This 125-nucleotide ribosomal RNA is filed under the name Gopherus agassizii (Agassiz's desert tortoise). Lineage: Eukaryota; Metazoa; Chordata; Testudines; Testudinidae. The record is from RNAcentral.
ACUCUGACUAUUCCUCAGCUAUCACAUGGUGAGCUUUGAUCGUGUCAAAUUUCAUAAGCUAAAGCAUCAGUCCAGGUUAGUGCUUGGGUAGGAGACUGCCAGAGAAAAACCAAGAGUUGCAAGUG